Molecule: ribosomal RNA, 1022 nt
Filed under: uncultured bacterium
Lineage: Bacteria
Description: bacterial SSU rRNA
Rfam family: Bacterial small subunit ribosomal RNA
Source: RNAcentral
UUAGAGUUUGAUCCUGGCUCAGGACGAACGCUGGCGGCGUGCCUAAUACAUGCAAGUCGAACGAGGCUUCUUGAUUGAUGCUUGCAUCAGCUAAAAAGCCGAGUGGCGAAUGGGUGAGUAACACGUGGGUAACCUGCCUUGAAGCGGGGGAUAACAUUUGGAAACAGAUGCUAAUACCGCAUAACCACAAAAGCCCCCUGGUUUUUGUGCCAAAGAUGGUUCUGCUAUCACUUCAAGAUGGACCCGCGGCGUAUUAGCUUGUUGGUGAAGUAACGGCUCACCAAGGCAAUGAUACGUAGCCGAACUGAGAGGUUGAUCGGCCACAUUGGGACUGAGACACGGCCCAAACUCCUACGGGAGGCAGCAGUAGGGAAUCUUCCACAAUGGACGCAAGUCUGAUGGAGCAACGCCGCGUGAGUGAAGAAGGUCUUCGGAUCGUAAAACUCUGUUGUCAGAGAAGAACGUGCGUGAGAGCAACUGUUCAUGCAGUGACGGUAUCUGACCAGAAAGUCACGGCUAACUACGUGCCAGCAGCCGCGGUAAUACGUAGGUGGCAAGCGUUGUCCGGAUUUAUUGGGCGUAAAGGGAACGCAGGCGGUCUUUUAAGUCUGAUGUGAAAGCCUUCGGCUUAACCGAAGUCGUGCAUUGGAAACUGGGGGACCUGAGUGCAGAAGAGGAGAGUGGAACUCCAUGUGUAGCGGUGAAAUGCGUAGAUAUAUGGAAGAACACCAGUGGCGAAAGCGGCUCUCUGGUCUGUAACUGACGCUGAGGUUCGAAAGCGUGGGUAGCAAACAGGAUUAGAUACCCUGGUAGUCCACGCCGUAAACGAUGAAUGCUAAGUGUUGGAAGGUUUCCGCCCUUCAGUGCCGCAGCUAACGCAUUAAGCAUUCCGCCUGGGGAGUACGAUCGCAAGAUUGAAACUCAAAGGAAUUGACGGGGGCCCGCACAAGCGGUGGAGCAUGUGGUUUAAUUCGAAGCAACGCGAAGAACCUUACCAGGUCUUGACAUCUUUUGCCAGGCUG